RNAcentral lists this transfer RNA (72 nucleotides) under Equus asinus (donkey). It matches the Rfam family "tRNA". Rfam says of the family: Transfer RNA (tRNA) molecules are approximately 80 nucleotides in length. Their secondary structure includes four short double-helical elements and three loops (D, anti-codon, and T loops). The record is from Rfam by way of RNAcentral. RNAcentral also lists the same sequence under 1 other name. Lineage: Eukaryota; Metazoa; Chordata; Mammalia; Perissodactyla; Equidae.
UGCCCAGUGGUCUAGUGGUUAAGAUUCAGCACUCUUGCUGCUGCGGCCUGGGUUUGUUUCCCAGUUAGGGAA